CAUGUUAUUUUUUUUAAUUUCAUUUUUGUUUAGAUCUAUGAAAUGGUGGACAGAUCAAAUAUUUAAGGGGUCUUGAAGAUCAAAUGCAAUAAGAGCUCAUUAUUGAAGAGUAAAGUGCAUAAGCUAUGAUUUUUUCUCCACUCUCUUGCUCUCUAAUGGCUAUUCACAUUCAAACACAAUUAUAGCAAGAUUUAACCAUUGCCAUUUUUUGCAACAAUCAAUUCAACACAUUAAAUCACUCCAACUUGAUGAAUAUGAGUGGAAAUGCAUAUGGUGUCGUGAUAAAGUAACUGUGACUUAGGAAUUGAUACUGACAGCCUAAUAGUAAGUAUGUGUAAUGAGAUCUUUAGUUUGAUUACAUUUUUUAUAUCCAAAGUGUA
Molecule: long non-coding RNA, 380 nt
Organism: Vigna unguiculata (cowpea)
Lineage: Eukaryota; Viridiplantae; Streptophyta; Magnoliopsida; Fabales; Fabaceae
Source: RefSeq, a predicted model, not a curated record